GACGGAGGGUGCAAGCGUUGUUCGGAAUUACUGGGCGUAAAGGGCGCGUAGGCGGUCUGUUAAGUUCGGUGUGAAAGCCCCCGGCUCACCUGGGGAACUGCGCCGGAAACCGACAGACUCGAGUACCGGAGAGGAGGGUGGAAUUCCUGGUGUAGCGGUGAAAUGCGUAGAUAUCAGGAGGAACACCGGUGGCGAAGGCGGCCCUCUGGACGGAUACUGACGCUGAGGCGCGAAAGCGUGGGGAUCAAACGGG
RNAcentral lists this ribosomal RNA (253 nucleotides) under uncultured bacterium. Its description in RNAcentral is "partial 16S ribosomal RNA". It matches the Rfam family "Bacterial small subunit ribosomal RNA", at positions 524 to 776 of the family's 1533-position model. The record is from RNAcentral.